UUAAGGAGCAGCUGGAGGCAGCAAAAACUAUGGCCACUGCCAGAGCAAUGUGCCUUGCAAAGAUAAGGUCCAGUGAGUUCAGCUACACAAAGCACCUACCUAAGAUUCCCAAUACACUCAAGCGAGGCAGAAUCUUGGGGUCAAUUUGCAUCUACAGCAGACAGCCAAGACCCAAGCUGAGAUCUGGACACAGUCUUCUUUCCCUCAGAAAAUUCCCAACAACACCUCCAUGUGGAUCCCUCCAUUAUAAUUAAGAAAAGCAAUUAAGCAACACUGACAACAUAAGAAGGUAUGAGCAUCUCGGGAAGGCACAAACUAGUGAAAGAGAAGGAUGGCUGAUAUGAAGAUUUGCUGAAUAAUUUCUGAGAAAUGAAAAGUUGAAAAAAAGUCAAAGUUUCAGAAUAAGUGCUCUGGGUUAGUCAAUAAGUUAAUUAUAAAGAUGCUCCUCUAAUUCUUGAAAAGUAAAAUAAUGUGCUUUUUAAAUUGGA
This is a long non-coding RNA of Antechinus flavipes (yellow-footed antechinus), 488 nucleotides long. RefSeq lists it as uncharacterized. The record is from RefSeq and is a predicted model, not a curated record. NCBI's taxonomy places the organism in Eukaryota, Metazoa, Chordata, Mammalia, Dasyuromorphia, Dasyuridae. The transcript is spliced from 3 exons.